This is a long non-coding RNA of Aethina tumida (small hive beetle), 1962 nucleotides long. RefSeq lists it as uncharacterized. The record is from RefSeq and is a predicted model, not a curated record. NCBI's taxonomy places the organism in Eukaryota, Metazoa, Arthropoda, Insecta, Coleoptera, Nitidulidae. The transcript has 5 exons.
UCCUCGUGGUUCUUGCCGGACAAUAACAUAUUACUUUAUUUCAUAUAAAUGUUAUUGACCAAGAAGAGUACACAAACCUCAUUCUAUUCCUAUAUGAAACCUAUUUAAAAUCUACCUCCCUGACUUAAUCUUAAUACCAUUAAUUUUGAGACCUACCAGGCAUUGAAACUAUGCGAUAUAUAGUGCCUCAAUUCAAACCCAGUAUUUUAACUGAUGUAUUAGAUGAAUUCGGUGAUUACCAUUAAUUUUAAGACCUAUCAACUCUUCCAACUAUCUGAUGUAUAAUCUCAACUCCUUAACUGAUGUAUUAGAUAAACCCUGGAACAUUUUAAAAUAUGGAAGAAAUGCCACAACGAACAACUACCAUUAAGUUUGAGACCUAUCAACUCUUAAAACCAUCUGAUGUUAGUACUUCAAUAUGCACCCAGUACUUCAACUGAUGUAUUAGAUUAAGUAAGGAAUAUAAAAUGAGUAACAAUCAACAACAUAUAGUACAAACUCAACUGGAUUAUGGUGAUAAGAAGAAGAAAAAAAAACAAAAAAAGUAUAUAUAUAUAUAUAUAUAUAUAUAAAGUACCUUUACUGUUGAAUAAGGGAUAACAACGUAAAGGAUUAUCAAAGGAUUAAAUUUUUGGAGUAACCAUUUGUUUCCCCCAAAUUGGAAAGACAUCAUCAAAUAAGUGUUAGAAAUUUCUAAUUGUCACCUAACCACCAAAACUGUAGUUUUAAGUUUCUGAACGGGUCCUACUUCGAAAAGAAAGAAAAUGGAAAAAAAAUUGAAUGAAUUUGACUGAUCAGUGAACGAAUAUAACCAAGCCUUAUGGAAUCAUCUAUUUCCAAGAUGUUGAUUAUCAUUAACAAGAUUAAGGCCAAAGUCCAUCGUUCACUCCUGACAAUAAUAUUAUUUUGAUUUUGUAAUAAAUACUACAAAAUAUUUUAUUAAAGAAGCUAAUUUUAAUUGUAGUAAUUACCAUCUUCUUGACACAAUAAUUUGUUGUGCCAACAGAGUAUUUUUACUUCCUGAUUAUUAUAAACAUUAUUUACUGAAGGUAUAAGUCUUAAUUAAUUAAAUUAAAAUAGUCCAAGCUGAAAAUAAUUAAAAACAUCGUCAACAUAAUGUUUUUAUUUAACACGUUGGUGUAAACAAGACGUUGAAGGAAUUGUCAAAUAUCUUCGGCCACUUAAGGAUUUUAAGACGUUUACGACUGGGAGUUAAUUUCGAGAUCAUCGUCAACACAACAUUUCAACACUUAUGACGCCUCAAUUAUUUCUUAUUCUUGUCAUCAUCUUUAUUUUUAUUGUUUAAUAUUACCACAACCUCAUUAAAAAAAAUAUAUAUCCUAAGAUUGAAGUUUUCAUCUCACUGUUAAUCAUAAUUUCAUACUCGUGAAUUGACUUCAUGACUUAUAAUCGAAAUAAACUGUCGUAAAAAUUUAUACGAGGACUAAAAACUUGAUAUAAUAAAACAGGUAUGUUACUAUGAAUAUUAAUAAAAAUUUAUUAAACCAUAACUUUUUAAAGAAAGAAAUAAGUAGUCUCAGAUUUUCUGUUGAAGAGGUGAAUGACUUUCGUUUAGUUGUUUAUUUUUAGUUUUUACUUGAAAACUUUAGUAAAAGCUAAAUAACCAAACUUUGGGAGGUAUCUAGAAGUUAAUUUGACGAGAUGCAAAGUGUUGUAAAUGUAGUUCAAUAUUUUAGUUGUACUUUAUUUGAACUACUUCCACUAUUAAUAUUAAACUUCCUUGACGGGGAAUUAUUAAUUCCUGUUUAUAUUUAGUUUAUGUAGGAGAUAAUAAUGAUUUAUUUUCAUAUAUUUGUUUUGUAAUUAUUAUUUUAUUUUUUAUUUAAGGAAUGUAUGACACAGCAUCUGAUAUUGAUAUUAUUGCAGAUAUUAUUUUACUAUUAUUAUUGUAAUAAUUAUUUUCGUACUCACUCAAAAAAUAUUCAUGUAUUUGUAAAUUAA